This 73-nucleotide transfer RNA is filed under the name Acidimicrobiia bacterium. RNAcentral's name for it is "tRNA-Gln". It matches the Rfam family "tRNA". From Rfam's summary of the family: Transfer RNA (tRNA) molecules are approximately 80 nucleotides in length. Their secondary structure includes four short double-helical elements and three loops (D, anti-codon, and T loops). RNAcentral also lists the same sequence under 2 other names. The record is from RNAcentral. Lineage: Bacteria; Bacillati; Actinomycetota; Acidimicrobiia.
UCGGGGGUGGUGUAAUUGGUAACACGGGUGGUUCUGGUCCAUUUGUUGGGGGUUCGAGUCCUCCCCCCCGAGC